GACGAACGCUGGCGGCGUGCUUAACACAUGCAAGUCGAACGAAGAGCGAUGGAAGCUUGCUUCUAUCAAUCUUAGUGGCGAACGGGUGAGUAACGCGUAAUCAACCUGCCCUUCAGAGGGGGACAACAGUUGGAAACGACUGCUAAUACCGCAUACGAUCUAAUCUCGGCAUCGAGGAAAGAUGAAAGGUGGCCUCUAUUUAUAAGCUAUCACUGAGGGAGGGGAUUGCGUCUGAUUAGCUAGUUGGAGGGGUAACGGCCCACCAAGGCGAUGAUCAGUAGCCGGUCUGAGAGGAUGAACGGCCACAUUGGGACUGAGACACGGCCCAGACUCCUACGGGAGGCAGCAGUGGGGAAUCUUCCGCAAUGGACGAAAGUCUGACGGAGCAACGCCGCGUGAGUGAUGACGGCCUUCGGGUUGUAAAGCUCUGUUAAUCGGGACGAAAGGCCUUCUUGCGAACAGUUAGAAGGAUUGACGGUACCGGAAUAGAAAGCCACGGCUAACUACGUG
Molecule: ribosomal RNA, 510 nt
Filed under: uncultured bacterium
Lineage: Bacteria
Description: partial 16S ribosomal RNA
Rfam family: Bacterial small subunit ribosomal RNA
Source: RNAcentral